RNAcentral lists this long non-coding RNA (761 nucleotides) under Daphnia magna. Its description in RNAcentral is "uncharacterized LOC123474323, transcript variant X1". Lineage: Eukaryota; Metazoa; Arthropoda; Branchiopoda; Diplostraca; Daphniidae. The record is from RNAcentral.
ACAAGUGGUUCCCGACAUUUGGAAACAACAACUAAAUGUUGCUGAACCCAACUAGCAAAUUACUUUGCGACAAGUGGACUCAAAUGUCAGCGACGUAAAGACUUCCAGUUAACGACGAGUGGACUCCCAGGCAAUCGACGUUUGGACUCCCGAGUAAUUGACGUUUGGACUCCUUUUUUCUUUUUCUGGUUUUCUUUCUUUUGGAGUGUUCUCUACGACAUAGGAACUCCUGAUCCAGCGACAAAGGGACUCCCAAUCCAUUGACGCAUGGAUUUUCAGAGUUAUUUACGCUGAAGGAUUCUUAACCACAUUGAAGAAAAUUUGAAUAACAAUUAUGUGAAAAUUGUAUAUAUAUUUGAAAAUUCUCUCAUACCUACUCCAAGAUUGCUCAACUGAACAUAAUCCUUGCUAGUUGGAGUUUUCUCUAUGUUGUGGCAUGGAAGCAACAGAAUUUGCGUUUGAUGGCUCUCCUAUUUUUGCUAAUUUUUUCCCUGGCUAUCAUAUUCUGUUUCAAAUAAUAGGAACAAUAUAAGCAACCAGGUUUUUCUGAUAUGUUCACCUUUGCGGGUAAAACUAUAGGGACUGCAUCUGCGCCAUUAAGAGUUACGCCUAAAUCACCAUUAACAUUAAUGUUUAUUUCAAACUUGCCACUGUUUGCAUUCUGAUUUAUUGAGCUAACUUGGGCUGUUGCCUCUGGAUCAGUACUAGGGCUUACACUUUGUGCUGUAAAUAACAAUGUAAUACAUUCAUUAAUUUCACAA